RNAcentral lists this ribosomal RNA (423 nucleotides) under uncultured prokaryote. RNAcentral describes it as "bacterial SSU rRNA". It matches the Rfam family "Bacterial small subunit ribosomal RNA", at positions 46 to 344 of the family's 1533-position model. The record is from RNAcentral.
GCCUAACACAUGCAAGUCGAGCGGGGUUUUCUUUAGCACUGAGUACUCUUAAACGUUGGUAGUAGGCAGCGUUUAUGCAGAAACGACCUUAAAAAUCAGAUGGAGGUUUCUGCAUUACGCGUUAAACAGUGCCAACACAGGAUAUGAGAGUAUUGAGUGCUAAAGAAAACCUAGCGGCGGACGGGUGAGUAACGCGUGAGCAACCUGCCUUGCACAGGGGGAUAACAACCGGAAACGGUUGCUAAUACCGCAGUAGACCCCACUAUCGCAUGAUAGAGAGGAUAAAGGGACUACCGGUGCAAGAUGGGCUCGCGUCCCAUUAGUUAGUUGGUAGGGUAACGGCGUACCAAGGCGACGAUGGGUAGCCGACCUGAGAGGGUGAUCGGCCACACUGGGACUGAGACACGGCCCAGACUCCUACGG